Molecule: ribosomal RNA, 492 nt
Filed under: uncultured bacterium
Lineage: Bacteria
Description: partial 16S ribosomal RNA
Rfam family: Bacterial small subunit ribosomal RNA
Source: RNAcentral
AGUGAACGCUGGCGGUAGGCCUAACACAUGCAAGUCGAACGGCAGCACAGUAAGAGCUUGCUCUUACGGGUGGCGAGUGGCGGACGGGUGAGGAAUACAUCGGAAUCUACUUUUUCGUGGGGGAUAACGUAGGGAAACUUACGCUAAUACCGCAUACGACCUACGGGUGAAAGCAGGGGAUCUUCGGACCUUGCGCGAUUGAAUGCGCCGAUGUCGGCUUAGCUAGUUGGCGGGGUAAAGGCCCACCAAGGCGACGAUCCGUAGCUGGUCUGAGAGGAUGAUCGGCCACACUGGAACUGAGACACGGUCCAGACUCCUACGGGAGGCAGCAGUGGGGAAUAUUGGACAAUGGGCGCAAGCCUGAUCCAGCCAUACCGCGUGGGUGAAGAAGGCCUUCGGGUUGUAAAGCCCUUUUGUUGGGAAAGAAAAGCAGCAGGUUAAUACCCCGCUGUUCUGACGGUACCCAAAGAAUAAGCACCGGCUAACUUCGUG